UUCUAUCGAUUCUGACUUGAGUAUCAAAGAAUCCCUGCUAGAGCCCACUCCGACCAGGGACUUAUUUGGCAAGUCUGGUUGCCAUCACCUACCCAGACACCACCUAACUCUAGCCCAUUUGACCCAAGCUAGGGAUUUGCAACAACAGAUUGGUGCUAGAGAAAGGGUCAAAAUCUUUUUUUGGGAAGGAGCAUGAGAUCUACAACCAUGCCACCUUGAAGGACUUCAUCUCGAUGUUCAAAUGCUACGGCGGGGCCAAUCGACUAAAAACCUAAUCGGGAAUCAUGUUCCAGUUCAACAAUCAAUGGCACCUUUGCAACCCCCCAACCGACUAUGUAGGUAAAUCAAGACCAAUUUAAUAUCCUAAUGGCAUAGGUGUAGUGUUGACCUCAACAGUCAAUGCCAUGCAACAAUCAAGCUCAGCACAGGAAGUGCCCCAACAACAACCAUCUUGAUCUCUCUCAUAAAGUUCAGAUCAGGUUAGGCAAAUGUGAUUGAGUCGACCUUGGAGUUUCGAGUGAAGGAGGCACUCUCCCACUCCCCACUUCAACAAGGGAUCCACUCCAGGCCGAUCUUCAUCCCACCACAUGGAAGUCUAAAUGGCCCAUGACACCACCAU
This 619-nucleotide long non-coding RNA is filed under the name Elaeis guineensis (African oil palm). RNAcentral describes it as "long non-coding RNA (EGUI_LNC068249)". The record is from RNAcentral. Lineage: Eukaryota; Viridiplantae; Streptophyta; Magnoliopsida; Arecales; Arecaceae.